Molecule: long non-coding RNA, 803 nt
Organism: Gadus macrocephalus (Pacific cod)
Lineage: Eukaryota; Metazoa; Chordata; Actinopteri; Gadiformes; Gadidae
Exons: 4
Source: RefSeq, a predicted model, not a curated record
UUGACUUAAAGGGCAAAAUACAGCUGUUACUUUGACAUGCGUUAACCAACUACCGCUGUGUUUUCUUACUAGAACGUGUUUCUGGAGCGGAGGCGAGCUGGUAGGGGAGCCGUGAAUCUGGAGGAUGACCAUCACUCUACCAACAAGGAUUACUUUAGGGCCAGACUCGCACUGUUUGUUCCAGACCAGGACUCUGGCUGAGGAGAGCUGAUGGAGGAGCCAAGACUCUGGAGGACGACAUCACUCCACCAACCAGGAUCCUCACCAGGAAUCUGGAGGACUGAUGGAGAAGCCAUACAUCUGGAAGGCAAAUCCUGAGGACCACCAUGACUCUACCAUCAAGGAUUCCUCAUAAAUGUGCAUUAUCUGGACAUAGUGGACUAGACACACCUGAGCUGAACCUCACCUGAUCCUGUUUGGUCGGGGGUAGACACACCUGAGCUAAACCCGCCCUGAUCCUGACAUCCUGCUGGUCCCGUCUCCUCAGUUCAUCUGAGCCUCGUCCUCCACAAGACUUGCUGAGCUCAGCAGUCUGAGGCUGAUGGAUCAAUGACCUCCAGUGGGAGUGAUCUUCUUGACCCCACAUGUAACCGUGUGCUUCCACACGCCUUUCCCUCACGUCUGUCACUAACCUCACUACUUCACUACUCUCUACUGCUUCCUCUUUUCUUCCUUCUCUGUGGUUCAAACCUUUAAACUGAAGGCGCGUCUUCCUGCCCUCCAGAGGGUUUAGCGUUAGGGUUGAGAGUCAGGGUUUAGAGUUAGGGACAGAGCUGGUCAGGGAGGACUGCUUUUACACACAC